UACUUUUAAAACUGCACAUUUUCUA
Molecule: non-coding RNA, 25 nt
Filed under: Rattus norvegicus (Norway rat)
Lineage: Eukaryota; Metazoa; Chordata; Mammalia; Rodentia; Muridae
Source: RNAcentral